Molecule: long non-coding RNA, 386 nt
Filed under: Ictidomys tridecemlineatus (thirteen-lined ground squirrel)
Lineage: Eukaryota; Metazoa; Chordata; Mammalia; Rodentia; Sciuridae
Description: lncRNA (ENSSTOG00000031989.1)
Source: RNAcentral
AGCCGCCGCCCGGCCUCACCACCCCUCGCUUGCACGCACGCACGUUCAUUCUCCGUCCUCGCGCCCCUUUUCCUACACUUUCCUCUUCUCCCCGGUCGAAGAGCCGCUCUCUUCGCGCGGUGCAUUCUGGGGAUCUAGGUCGAGCCCGCUGCCGCCGUCGCCUAAGGAGAGCGACUAGAGGCCGCGAUUGGGGAGAAAACGCCGGAGUCGCCAUCGGAGAGGAGCCGAUUCCCCAGCCGCCGCUGCCAGAGAGGCCCGCCUACCCGUUCGCCCGUCCCCCUGCCCCGUUCACAAUUUUUUCGGCGGACACAACAUCUUUUGUUUGUAUGUGGUGCUGAGGAUCGAACCCGGGCUGCACACAUGCCAGGCGAGUGCGCUACUGCUUG